GAUAACUGGCUUGUGGCAGCCAAGCGUUCUUAGCGACGUUGCUUUUUGAUCCUUUGAUCUUGGCUCUUCCUAUCAUUGCGAAGCAGAAUUCGCCAAGCGUUGGAUUGUUCACUCACCAACAGGGAACGUGAGCUGGGUUUAGACCGUCGUGAGACAGGUU
Ribosomal RNA from Lottia gigantea (owl limpet), 160 nucleotides. It matches the Rfam family "Eukaryotic large subunit ribosomal RNA", at positions 2825 to 2984 of the family's 3401-position model. Lineage: Eukaryota; Metazoa; Mollusca; Gastropoda; Lottiidae. The record is from Rfam.